This 28-nucleotide non-coding RNA is filed under the name Bombyx mori (domestic silkworm). Lineage: Eukaryota; Metazoa; Arthropoda; Insecta; Lepidoptera; Bombycidae. The record is from RNAcentral.
CGUCGAGUUACAUUCAGGCAGUAUGGGC